This 445-nucleotide ribosomal RNA is filed under the name uncultured bacterium. RNAcentral describes it as "partial 16S ribosomal RNA". It matches the Rfam family "Bacterial small subunit ribosomal RNA", at positions 944 to 1385 of the family's 1533-position model. The record is from RNAcentral.
GUCGCUCCGAUGCUCUAGAUUACGCGAAGACCUUACCAAGGCUUGACAUAUAGAGGAAAAGUGCAGAAAUGCACUCCCCGCAAGGUCUCUAUACAGGUGGUGCAUGGUUGUCGUCAGCUCGUGUCGUGAGAUGUUGGGUUAAGUCCCGCAACGAGCGCAACCCCUACUUCUAGUUGCCAUCAGGUUAAGCUGGGCACUCUAGUAGGACUGCCUGUGAUAAGCAGGAGGAAGGUUGGGAUGACGUCAAGUCCUCAUGCCCCUUAUGUCUUGGGCUUCACGCAUGCUACAAUGGCCGGUACAGAGGGCUGCAAUACCGUAAGGUGGAGCGAAUCCCAAAAAGCCGGUCUCAGUUCGGAUUGAGGUCUGCAACUCGACCUCAUGAAGUCGGAGUCGCUAGUAAUCGUAGAUCAGCAACGCUACGGUGAAUACGUUCCCGGGUCUUGUA